GAGUAACGCGUGGGUAACCUGGCCCAUACAGGGGGAUAACACUUAGAAAUAGGUGCUAAUACCGCAUAACAACAGAAAGCGCAUGCUUUUUGUUUGUAAACCAAGGUGGUAUGGGAUGGACCCGCGUCUGAUUAGCUGGUUGGCGGGGUAAAGGCCCACCAAGGCGACGAUCAGUAGCCGGCCUGAGAGGGUGGACGGCCACAUUGGGACUGAGACACGGCCCAAACUCCUACGGGAGGCAGCAGUGGGGAAUAUUGCACAAUGGGGGAAACCCUGAUGCAGCGACGCCGCGUGAGUGAAGAAGUAAUUCGUUAUGUAAAGCUCUAUCAGCAGGGAAGAAAAUGACGGUACCUGAGUAAGAAGCCCCGGCUAACUACGUGCCAGCAGCCGCGGUAAUACGUAGGGGGGCAAGCGUUAUCCGGAUUUACUGGGUGUAAAGGGAGCGUAGACGGCAGUGCAAGUCUGGAGUGAAAGGCGGGGGCUCAACCCCCGGACUGCUCUGGAAACUGUACGGNUGGAGUGCAGGAGAGGUAAGUGGAAUUCCUAGUGUAGCGGUGAAAUGCGUAGAUAUUAGGAGGAACACCAGUGGCGAAGGCGGCUUACUGGACUGUAACUGACGUUGAGGCUCGAAAGCGUGGGGAGCAAACAGGAUUAGAUACCCUGGUAGUCCACGCCGUAAACGAUGAUCACUAGGUGU
RNAcentral lists this ribosomal RNA (697 nucleotides) under uncultured bacterium. Its description in RNAcentral is "bacterial SSU rRNA". It matches the Rfam family "Bacterial small subunit ribosomal RNA", at positions 108 to 823 of the family's 1533-position model. The record is from RNAcentral.